Molecule: non-coding RNA, 148 nt
Filed under: Pan troglodytes (chimpanzee)
Lineage: Eukaryota; Metazoa; Chordata; Mammalia; Primates; Hominidae
Source: Rfam by way of RNAcentral
GCCAGGCAUGGUGGCCGGUGCCUGUAAUCCCAGCUACCUGGGAGGCUGAGGCAGGAGAAUUGCUUGAACCUGGGAGGUGGAAGGUGCAGUGAGCCGAGAUCAUGCCACUGUACUCCAGCCUGGGUGACAGAGCAAGACUCUGUCUCUA